UCUGACAGUUUGACAGCCUAUGGCCAUCUAGCGCUGUAAACAAGAAAUGUGGAAAAUUUAAAACGGUCAAAUGAAAACGAUACAGCCUCGCUCUAGCUAAUCGAGACUAACUAAAACUCUACUUAAUCAAAACUAACUAAAAUGACAAAGAAUAAAAUCCCGAAAAAAUCCCGAAAAAAACUGGAUACUUACGUAAUAUUGUUAGGCAACUGGCGAGACUGUUGAAGAUCGCAUUGUCAAAAAAUGUGUUCUAUCAACAACGUCAGCAAGCUAAGGCUAGAAGCUUGAUUCUCGAAAUCCCUUUCAUGAGCAAUAAAGACUAAGUGUUCAAUACUAGAUUCAGUGACAGAGUUCAAUGGAAAAUCCUUUCUUUUAAGGAGGCUGAUUAUGGUUGUGGUGUGACAAAGAGAAAAGGAGAUUUGGAAUUCAGCACAACACAAAAUUAGAUUGCGUCUAUCAAGGCGACGAGUCCUCCAGGGCCACGACUGUUUGUGCUAACAAAAUAGUGUUCCGAUUGGUAUUCCGAUUUUAAUGUUUGGUAGAUUAAUGGUGAUUUUUUGUGUUAGUACGUCCGAUAAUUAACUACCUAGGAGAAGAUUAUCAAGUUCUAUAAACUGAAGACAUUUUCAGGUAUUACAUAAAACACGAGUAUAUUCAUAUUCAGGGGAAACAGAAUACGAUCGUUGCUUCAACAGGAAACGAGGAACGGGUUGUUAUCUUUCUUCAAACUAGUAAACAUACUGUUAAUUACUGGGUUAAUAAAUGAACUGCUAGUUUAAACUGAAAAAAAACUAACAUUAUUCAAAUUAGGCGCUAUUCUAGGCUAUGAGUAAAACGCCUGGUA
This is a long non-coding RNA of Daphnia pulicaria, 844 nucleotides long. RefSeq lists it as uncharacterized. The record is from RefSeq and is a predicted model, not a curated record. Lineage: Eukaryota; Metazoa; Arthropoda; Branchiopoda; Diplostraca; Daphniidae. The transcript is spliced from 2 exons.